Long non-coding RNA from Cornus florida, 408 nucleotides. RefSeq lists it as uncharacterized. The transcript is spliced from 2 exons. The record is from RefSeq and is a predicted model, not a curated record. Lineage: Eukaryota; Viridiplantae; Streptophyta; Magnoliopsida; Cornales; Cornaceae.
CUCUCUCUCUCUCUCUCUCUCUACACACUGACACACCCAGAGAGACCACUUCGCAGAUCUCUUCGUCUUUGGAGCUCAACAACGUAGCCGGCGGGUCUGCGGUGGUCACGAAAGUUGCCGACAGGAGGAACCACAUCCAGAAUUUGAUGAAUGGUUGCUACAUCAUCUAGUGCCGUACGGGUGGCUUUGUCCUACUGCGUACAGCAAGUACGAAAUUAUGACUACCAUCACUAUCUCUGCCUUCUUGAACUUCCCCCACACAUAAAGGUCUUCACCUGAUUUAAUUAAUCUAAUUCAGUAUAAUGGCUUCCAAUAUUUGCUUUAUUGAGAUCAAAUUAUAUAUUAGAGUUUGUAACACCAGGCACCAGCAAUUAAAGUUAUUGAAAUAGAGUUUCAAUUUUUGGACUA